AGCUCCAAUAGCGUAUAUUAAAGUUGUUGCAGUUAAAAAGCUCGUAGUUGGAUUUCUGGUGGGAGUCGCCGGUCCGCCCCGUGAGGGGUGUGCACUGUUGUUGAUCUUGCACCAUCUUUGGGGUGAACAGCACUGGCAUUAGGUUGUUGGUGUUGCAAUCCCCAUCGUUUACUGUGAACAAAUUAGAGUGUUCAAAGCAGGCUUACGCCGUUGAAUACAUUAGCAUGGAAUAAUGAGAUAGGACCUUGGUGUGGCAUAUUUUACGAUGUGCCUAUUUUGUUGGUUUGUACACCAUGGUAAUGAUUAAUAGGGAUGGUUGGGGGUAUUCGUAUUCAAUUGUCAGAGGUGAAAUUCUUGGAUUUAUGGAAGACGAACUACUGCGAAAGCAUUUACCAAGGAU
This 400-nucleotide ribosomal RNA is filed under the name phytoplankton environmental sample. Its description in RNAcentral is "partial small subunit ribosomal RNA". It matches the Rfam family "Eukaryotic small subunit ribosomal RNA", at positions 587 to 965 of the family's 1831-position model. The record is from RNAcentral.